AACGAACGCUGGCGGCAUGCCUAACACAUGCAAGUCGAACGAGACCUUCGGGUCUAGUGGCGCACGGGUGCGUAACGCGUGGGAAUCUGCCCUUGGGUUCGGAAUAACAGUUGGAAACGACUGCUAAUACCGGAUGAUGACGUAAGUCCAAAGAUUUAUCGCCCAGGGAUGAGCCCGCGUAGGAUUAGCUAGUUGGUGGGGUAAAGGCCUACCAAGGCGACGAUCCUUAGCUGGUCUGAGAGGAUGCUCAGCCACACUGGGACUGAGACACGGCCCAGACUCCUACGGGAGGCAGCAGUGGGGAAUAGUGGACAAUGGGCGAAAGCCUGAUCCAGCAAUGCCGCGUGAGUGAUGAAGGCCUUAGGGUUGUAAAACUCUUUUACCCGGGAUGAUAAUGACAGUACCGGGAGAAUAAGCCCCGGCUAACUCCGUG
RNAcentral lists this ribosomal RNA (433 nucleotides) under uncultured bacterium. Its description in RNAcentral is "partial 16S ribosomal RNA". It matches the Rfam family "Bacterial small subunit ribosomal RNA", at positions 29 to 507 of the family's 1533-position model. The record is from RNAcentral.